GGCAGGGGCUUGCGCUCAGGCUCUCAGUACUCCGGAAGAGCUCCCGGAGUUAGACUCUCCCCGCGGGAGAGGAACUGUUACGGAUUUUGCGCAAUGAGCGAUCCACACGGCGCAAGCA
This 118-nucleotide non-coding RNA is filed under the name unclassified sequences. The record is from Rfam.